This 261-nucleotide ribosomal RNA is filed under the name uncultured bacterium. RNAcentral describes it as "partial 16S ribosomal RNA". It matches the Rfam family "Bacterial small subunit ribosomal RNA", at positions 92 to 354 of the family's 1533-position model. The record is from RNAcentral.
CGAGUGGCGAACGGGUGAGUAAUACAUCGGAACGUGUCCGCUCGUGGGGGACAACCAGCCGAAAGGUUGGCUAAUACCGCAUGAGUUCUACGGAAGAAAGAGGGGGACCCGCAAGGGCCUCUCGCGAGCGGAGCGGCCGAUGACUGAUUAGCCGGUUGGUGAGGUAACGGCUCACCAAAGCAACGAUCAGUAGCUGGUCUGAGAGGACGACCAGCCACACUGGGACUGAGACACGGCCCAGACUCCUACGGAAGGCAGCAG